GGAGGGGUCUGUAGCUCAGUAGCAGAGCAUCUGCUUUGUUGGCAGAUGAUCCCAGGUUCAAUCCCUGGCUUCUCCA
Molecule: non-coding RNA, 76 nt
Organism: Podarcis lilfordi (Lilford's wall lizard)
Lineage: Eukaryota; Metazoa; Chordata; Lepidosauria; Squamata; Lacertidae
Source: the annotation of a GenBank genome assembly